UGAGUACGACGGAGCACGUGAAAUUCCGUCGGAAUCUGGGAGGACCAUCUCCUAAGGCUAAAUACUCUCUAGUGACCGAUAGUGAACCAGUACCGUGAGGGAAAGGUGAAAAGUACCCCGGAAGGGGAGUGAAAGAGAACUUGAAACCGUGUGCUUACAAGUAGUCAGAGCCCGUUAAUGGGUGAUGGCGUGCCUUUUGUAGAAUGAACCGGCGAGUUACGAUCUGAUGCAAGGUUAAGCAGAAAAUGUGGAGCCGUAGCGAAAGCGAGUCUGAAUAGGGCGAAUGAGUAUUUGGUCGUAGACCCGAAACCAGGUGAUCUACCCUUGGUCAGGUUGAAGUUCAGGUAACACUGAAUGGAGGACCGAACCGACUUACGUUGAAAAGUGAGCGGAUGAACUGAGGGUAGCGGAGAAAUUCCAAUCGAACUUGGAGAUAGCUGGUUCUCUCCGAAAUAGCUUUAGGGCUAGCCUCAAGUGAUGAUUAUUGGAGGUAGAGCACUGUUUGGACGAGGGGCCCCUCUCGGGUUACCGAAUUCAGACAAACUCCGAAUGCCAAAUAAUUUAACUUGGGAGUCAGAAUGUGGGUGAUAAGGUCCAUAUUCGAAAGGGAAACAGCCCAGACCACCAGCUAAGGUCCCAAAAUAUAUGUUAAGUGGAAAAGGAUGUGGCGUUGCCCAGACAACUAGGAUGUUGGCUUAGAAGCAGCCAUCAUUUAAAGAGUGCGUAAUAGCUCACUAGUCGAGUGACACUGCGCCGAAAAUGUACCGGGGCUAAACAUAU
Molecule: ribosomal RNA, 780 nt
Filed under: Staphylococcus pseudintermedius
Lineage: Bacteria; Bacillati; Bacillota; Bacilli; Caryophanales; Staphylococcaceae
Description: partial 23S ribosomal RNA
Rfam family: Bacterial large subunit ribosomal RNA
Source: RNAcentral